RNAcentral lists this transfer RNA (16 nucleotides) under Streptocarpus primulifolius. RNAcentral describes it as "partial tRNA-Cys". The record is from RNAcentral. Lineage: Eukaryota; Viridiplantae; Streptophyta; Magnoliopsida; Lamiales; Gesneriaceae. RNAcentral also lists the same sequence under 5 other names.
AAUCCGGGUGUCGCCU